Molecule: long non-coding RNA, 2081 nt
Organism: Ficedula albicollis (Collared flycatcher)
Lineage: Eukaryota; Metazoa; Chordata; Aves; Passeriformes; Muscicapidae
Source: Ensembl
GAGACCCUGUUCCAGUGCCUGAUCACGCUCUGGGUGAAGAAACUUUUCCUAAUACCCAACCAAAACCUCUCCUGACAGAGCUUCAGGCCAUUCCCUCAGGUCCUGUCACUGGUCACCAGAGAGAAGAGAUCACUGCCACUCCUCCAGCACUCCCCUAGACCUUUCACCAUCUUUGUAGCCCUCCUUUGGAUGCUUUCUAAUGGCUUUAUUUCUUCUGUUGUGGUGCCCUAAACUGCACAUAGACUUGAGGGUGAGGCCACAGCAGCACAGAACACAGCAGUCUCUUUCCACUCUCUCCAGCCUCUCAUUCCUCAGUCUGUACCUACAUCCAGGGUUUCCUGUUAUAACAUUCCCUGUUAUUUAAUGUGUUUAGCAGGAAAACCACACAGGUGAAUACCUGGCUCAGAGCCUGGUGUUACCAGCGGAAUUUUGGGGGCUUUGAUCACAGGUCAGCUUUCAGGCCUGGUGGCUGCAGUGGGGUGCACCUGUCUCAAAGGGGAGAGGGAUCUCUGCUCAGGAGUCAGCAUGGCUUGUUGAGACAACUGUAAAUUAGAUUUCAAGGAGAAGGGGUUAAGCCUGACUCACUAAGGAUAAGCUUAGGGGCGGCACGCUGGUUUUAGAAGGACAGUUGCAGAGGUAGGAAAUGGUGUCUUUAAUAGUAAUGAAACUGUAGCAAAAGGAGAUGGGAAAAUCUAGUUUCUUGAUAGAAUGCUGUCUGACAAAAAUAGUCAAAAGUCACUUGCAGUUGGCUCUUUUAUGUAGUCUUUAUAGGGAGCUUUUGAUAUAGAUUUCUGAGAAGAAAGACCUGAGUGGCUCUGUACUCCCAUGCACAGUGCUGCCUCCCAAAAUAGGGCCACCCUUCUCCACUUCUGCUCCUUCCAUGCUCAUGCAGAAACAGGAAAUUCAGCAGUGGGCAGACUGAGGAAUUCAGGGACAGUGGAAGCACCUUGGGGAGCCCUGGUGGAGGCUGUGGGCUGUGAGGUCACAGAGCCCCUCUGGCAUGUUCCGUGCCAGCUGGGGGCAAUGCUGCAGCAGCAGCAUGCUGUGAGGAUGGGGGGCAUGGUGCUCACCCAGUGCCUCCUCCUCUUUCUGGUGCUCCUGCAAGCCCAGGACACGCAGCCUGCUCCAGCUGGAGGGCAGGGAGCAGAUGUGGCCAGAGAGAGGGCUUUUCCACCUCCUCAGGAGGAUCCUGUGCUGGUUCCCGGCUUGUAUCACUCGGAGCAAGAGGCUGAAGAAGAAGCCAUGACUCAGGCUCCUGAAUUGCUGAACAUGUACUAUAUUCUAGGGAUUACAGUAGUCUCGUGUGUGCUGCUGCUUUGGGUAAUUGUGUGUUGCAUAGCCAUGUCAUGGCUGCUGGAGAAAGACAAGGUGCCCCAGAGAUGUGGAGCAGCACUGGGACAAGCUGAUACUGGCUGUCUGGAAAAGCCAAGAUCAAAGAAGAGGUAGAGGUGAGGCAGAGUCAGAAGGACCAGGAUGCAGAUCUCCCAACUCUGCCCACUUGUUUCAGCUGCUCUCUGGCUGGUGCUGCCUCUUCACAGGCUACUGGGUAUCUGUGGAUUCACCUCAUCCCACAUCAUCCCAGUGUCCCAGUAUCAACAGGGAUAUUGUGCCUCGGAAGACUAUCAUUUUUUCAAUGAAUAAUAUAUAUUUUUCUUUUUUUUGCUAAAGAAGUGAGUUCUUGGCUGUUUUGGCUGUUUCUGUUUGGGUAAAAAGCACAGAGCUGGUGUGUGUCUGUGAGAGAGGCUGUCAGAGACUUGCACUGCAGCGUGGGACACCUCUGUAUCAGCAUCAGUCUGUUUUCUUCACUAGGGCCAUCAUCAAGGCUUCCCUCCACCAGAAUGGAGACUUGCUGGUGACACAUGAGGUGCAAAGGCUUGUCCAUGAGCUUACUUGAGAUGUUGCCCUGAAUCAGGAUUGUCUGGGUAGAGAGGGAAGGAGGGAUAGACACCCAGUGCUGAGCACAUCAAGGAGGGCUGAUGGGGUAACAGAGGCUGCAGAUGCAGCAGUGUCCCCCACCCCAGAGCUCGGAGAUGAUAAAUGAGUGGAAAGUUGGAGCAGGGCUGGGUGGGAGAGCAGAGAGA